Molecule: ribosomal RNA, 255 nt
Filed under: uncultured bacterium
Lineage: Bacteria
Description: partial 16S ribosomal RNA
Rfam family: Bacterial small subunit ribosomal RNA
Source: RNAcentral
UACGUAGGGUGCAAGCGUUAAUCGGAAUUACUGGGCGUAAAGCGUGCGCAGGCGGUUUUGUAAGUUUGUCGUGAAAGCCCCGGGCUCAACUUGGGAACGGCAUUGGAAACUGGCGAGCUAGAGUGUGGCAGAGGGGGGGUGGAAUUCCGCGUGUAGCAGUGAAAUGCGUAGAGAUGCGGAGGAACACCGAUGGCGAAGGCAGCCCCCCUGGGCUGACACUGACGCUCAGGCACGAAAGCGUGGGGAGCAAACAGG